UAGGGAAUAUUGGACAAUGGGGGCAACCCUGAUCCAGCCAUGCCGCGUGAGUGAAGAAGGCCCUCGGGUUGUAAAGCUCUUUUGUCCGGAAAGAAAAGCAUUCGGUGAAUACCCGGAUGUUCUGACGGUACCGGAAGAAUAAGCACCGGCUAACUUCGUGCCAGCAGCCGCGGUAAUACGAAGGGUGCAAGCGUUACUCGGAAUUACUGGGCGUAAAGCGUGCGUAGGUGGUUGUGUAAGUCUGAUGUGAAAGCCCUGGGCUCAACCAGGGAAUGGCAUUGGAAACUGGGCAGCUAGAGUGCGGUAGGGGUUAGUGGCAUUCACGGUGUAGCAGUGAAAUGCGUAGAGUUCGGGAGGAACAUCUGUGGCGAAGGCGACUGCCUGGACCAGCACUGACACUGAGGCACGAAAGCGUGGGGAG
Molecule: ribosomal RNA, 421 nt
Filed under: uncultured bacterium
Lineage: Bacteria
Description: bacterial SSU rRNA
Rfam family: Bacterial small subunit ribosomal RNA
Source: RNAcentral